This is a long non-coding RNA of Parus major (Great Tit), 1554 nucleotides long. NCBI's taxonomy places the organism in Eukaryota, Metazoa, Chordata, Aves, Passeriformes, Paridae. The record is from Ensembl.
GGAAUCCCUGUACAAGGUCUCAGCUGGCACAGCCAAGUGGCCCUCAGCAAAAUCCCAGGACUGGGUUCUGCAGGCUCUGAGGCACCAGAACGGAUACAACUCCAGCAGCAGCAGGAAGGAGCUCGCCAAGGUCUCCAUCUUCUACCGGCAGCUGCGCUCCCAGGCCCUGCAUGAGGCCCCGCUGCUCUCGGAGAACCUGCUGCUGUCCAGCAUGGGGAGCCAGUGGAGCCUGUGGUUCGGCUCCUCGGUGCUGUCGGUGCUCGAGGUGCUGGAGCUGCUCGCCGAUGCUCUGGUCCUGGCCCUGCUCUGCUGCUUCCGCCGGCUCCGGGCCUUGGAGCGGCCCCCGGCCCCGGAGAGCUCCGGGGAGCGGCAGGAGGAGCCCCGGGAAGGGCAGCAGGGAGCCCGAGGAGCGGGAAUGGGGCUCCCACGGCACCCGGAGCUGGAGCUGGAGGGGUUCCAGAGCAGCCGGGAGCUGGGACCGGAGUGAGGAACUGAGACCUGGAAUUCUCCUGAGGCUGGGGAAGGUGCCAGGGACAUCCUGGAUCCACAGCUGAGCAUGGAAAUGCCUGGAAUUCUCCUGAUCCUGCUGGAAGGGUGCCAGGGAUGCCCUGGAUCCACAGCUGGGAGCUCUGGCAAUGCUUGGAAUUCUCCUGAUGCUCCUGGAAAAGUCACAGGGAUGUCCUGGAUCCUCUCUGGGAGCUCCCUGAGCAUGGGAAUGCCUGGAAUUCCCUUCAUGCUGCUGGAGACGUGCCAGGGACAUUGUGGAUCCACAGCUGAGCAUGGAAAUGCUGGGAAUUCUCCUGAUCCUGCUGGAAAUGUGCCAGGGACACCCUGGAUCCUCUCCUGAGGGUGGCAGUGCUUGGAAUUCUCCUGAUGUUGCUGGAAAAGUCAGGGAUGCCCUGGAUCCACAGUUGGGAGCUCUGGCAAUGCCUGGAGUUCUCUUGAUCUUGCUGGAAAAGUCACAGGGAUGUCCUGGAUCCUCUCUGGGAGCUCCCUGAGCAUGGAAAUACCUGGAAUUCCCUUAAUUCUGUAGGAAAGGUGCCAGGGAUGUCCUGGAUCCACAGCUGAGCUCCCCCAGCCCCUCCAGGUUCCCACUGCACAUCCCUGGAUCCUGCAUCCCGAGGUUUUGGAUCCCAGGGAACGCCUGGGCAGGGGGAGCUGUGCUCUGGGAGUCCUGGAAUCCUCUCCAAGGGCUGUUCCCAGCUGGAAUUCCCAAGCCCUGGUGAGGAGCUCACUCUGAGGCCGGGCCGGGCCCAGCCAGGUUUCACCGAGGGAGGGAAUUCCAGGAGAAUCCAAGGAUUGUGUGGGAUGGGAAUGGGCUUGGAAUGGGAUAGGUUUAACCCUUCCAAUCCCAAACCAUUCCCUGCCCCUGGGAUUCACAUCCAGGGUUGUCCUGAUCCUGCCUGGAAUUCCCAAACACCUCCUGGGCUCUGAUCCCAGAAUUCCUAAACACCUCCUGCCCUUGGGCUCUGCUCCCACCUGGAAUUCCCAAACAUCUCCUGCCCUCUGAUCCUGGAAUUCCCAAACAUCUCCUGCCCUCUGAUCCUGGAAUUC